Molecule: ribosomal RNA, 305 nt
Filed under: uncultured bacterium
Lineage: Bacteria
Description: bacterial SSU rRNA
Rfam family: Bacterial small subunit ribosomal RNA
Source: RNAcentral
GAUGAACGCUAGCGGCAGGCUUAAUACAUGCAAGUCGAGGGGCAGCAUAAGUAGCAAUACUUGAUGGCGACCGGCAAACGGGUGCGGAACACGUACGCAACCUUCCUUUAAGUGGGGAAUAGCCCGGGGAAACCCGGAUUAAUACCCCGUAAUAUUAUGAUGUGGCAUCACAUUAUAAUUAUAGAUUCAUCGCUUAAAGAUGGGCGUGCGCCUGAUUAGGUAGUUGGCGGAGUAAUAGCCCACCAAGCCUGCGAUCAGUAACUGGUGUGAGAGCACGACCAGUCACACGGGCACUGAGACACGGG